GACGAACGCUGGCGGCGUGCUUAACACAUGCAAGUCGAACGGAAAGGCCUCUUUCGGGGGGUACUCGAGUGGCGAACGGGUGAGUAACACGUGAGUAACCUGCCCUUGACUUUGGGAUAACUUCAGGAAACUGGGGCUAAUACCGGAUAGGAGCUCCUGCUGCAUGGUGGGGGUUGGAAAGUUUCGGCGGUUGGGGAUGGACUCGCGGCUUAUCAGCUUGUUGGUGGGGUAGUGGCUUACCAAGGCUUUGACGGGUAGCCGGCCUGAGAGGGUGACCGGCCACAUUGGGACUGAGAUGCGGCCCAGACUCCUACGGGUGGCAGCAGUGGGGAAUAUUGCACAAUGGGUGGAAGCCUGAUGCAGCAACUCCGUGUGCGGGAUGACGGCCUUCGGGUUGUAAACCGCUUUCGCUCAUGACGAAGCUUUGUGUGACGGUAGUGGGUAAAGAAGCACCGGCUAACUACGUG
Molecule: ribosomal RNA, 467 nt
Filed under: uncultured bacterium
Lineage: Bacteria
Description: partial 16S ribosomal RNA
Rfam family: Bacterial small subunit ribosomal RNA
Source: RNAcentral